GCUGAGCGUGCGGGCGUCACGCUGGUCCCCGGCCUCCAUCACCAGGCUGGUGAGGGUGCUGGUGAGCUCCUCCAUGGACAGGGUGCCCGCCCGGUACUUCCUCAGCAGCGCCUGCCUCUUGCUCUCGGGCACGUCCCUGCAGAACAGGAGCUCCCACACAGACACGGUCUGGCCCCGGAACAGGCCCCCGUGGACGGUGAGCGAGGCGGCCUGCAGGGCGCGGCGCAUCUGCUCGCUCAGCUGGGACACGGCGGAGCCCGUGUCCGCCAGCUGCAACAUGUAGAGGCCGGUGUCGGGGUCGCGGACGCACCUGCGCAGCAGCUGCAUGUAGGUGAGGUUCUCGUGGGUGUUGGGGUCAAAGAAGCCCUUGGUGUCGUCCGAGGGGUCAGACAGGAUCUGGUUCAUCUCCUCGUCAAAGUAGCCGCGCUGGUAGGCCACCUCCACCGGCACGCGGUGGCUGUGCACGGGGUCGAUGACCCCGCCCGUGGCGAUCUGGGCCUCCAGCAGCCUCACGCCGUGCUCCUUGACGAUGAGGUCCCUCUUCAUGGCCUGGAAGAGGGAGAUCUGCUCUCCUGUGUAGGGGUCCGUGUAGCCGGUGACGGCCUUCUCCGCGGACAGCAGCUUCUCCUGGAUCUCCCCGCCCACCACGCCUGCGGCCACGGCCUCGUCCACGGACAGCUUCUGGUUGCGCAGCGGGUCGAUGACGAAGCCCGUGGCGGCCUGGGCCUCCAGCAGCACCAGCGCCGUGCCGGGCCUCAGGAUGCCCUUCCACAUGGCCUGGUAGAUGCUCAUCUUCUCCUGCUUGGCCGGGUCCGCCUUGGAGGGCACCAGGACGCCCGCGAUGCAGCUGGUCCCCUCCAGGUACUUUUUCACUCUUUCUUUUCCAGCGAUGUCUGUUACUCUUUUUUGUCCUUUCUCCAAUUCUUCCAACAUAUGUUUAUUAAUGAUAUCUGCUUUGAAAAGUUCAGAAGCUGUUACUUGUUUUCUCAGUCCUUUGAACCAUACCUCCUUUCUGUUUUUUUCUUUUUCUUCAAUUAA
This 1038-nucleotide long non-coding RNA is filed under the name Phascolarctos cinereus (koala). Its description in RNAcentral is "lncRNA (ENSPCIG00000035408.1)". The record is from RNAcentral. Lineage: Eukaryota; Metazoa; Chordata; Mammalia; Diprotodontia; Phascolarctidae.